UUUCGCAAUGCCCGAAAGGGUGACGAAGCGACGCCGCGUGUGGGAAGAAGGCCUUCGGGUUGUAAACCACUGUCGGGAGUUAGGAAAUGCAGGUGCGUUAAUAGCGCACUUGCUUGACUAAGGCUCCAGAGGAAGCCACGGCUAACUCUGUGCCAGCAGCCGCGGUAAUACAGAGGCGGCAAGCGUUGUUCGGAAUUAUUGGGCGUAAAGAGCACGUAGGCGGCCUUGCAAGUCAGUUGUGAAAGCCUUCCGCUUAACGGAAGAACGGCAUCUGAUACUACAGGGCUUGAGUACGGGAGGGGAGAGUGGAACUUCUGGUGGGGCGGUGAAAUGCGUAGAUAUCAGAAGGAACGCCGGCGGCGAAAGCGACUCUCUGGUCCGAAACUGACGCUGAGUGUGCGAAAGCUAGGGGAGCAAACGGGAUUAGAUACCCCGGUAGUCCUAGCCGUAAACGAUGGGCACUAAGUAGAGGGGUUUU
This 478-nucleotide ribosomal RNA is filed under the name Planctomycete enrichment culture clone MSGTP05. RNAcentral describes it as "bacterial SSU rRNA". It matches the Rfam family "Bacterial small subunit ribosomal RNA", at positions 364 to 832 of the family's 1533-position model. The record is from RNAcentral. Lineage: Bacteria; Pseudomonadati; Planctomycetota; Planctomycetia; Planctomycetales.